UACGUAGGGACCGAGCGUUGUCCGGAUUCAUUGGGCGUAAAGAGCUCGUAGGCGGCCACUCAAGUCGAAUGUGAAACCUCGAGGCUUAACCUCGAGCCUGCAUUCGAUACUGGGUGGCUAGAGUCUGGUAGGGGGAUCUGGAACUCCUGGUGUAGCGGUGGAAUGCGCAGAUAUCAGGAGGAACACCGGUGGCGAAGGCGGGAUCCUGGGCCAGUACUGACGCUGAGGAGCGAAAGCGUGGGGAGCGAACAGG
RNAcentral lists this ribosomal RNA (253 nucleotides) under uncultured bacterium. RNAcentral's name for it is "partial 16S ribosomal RNA". It matches the Rfam family "Bacterial small subunit ribosomal RNA", at positions 524 to 776 of the family's 1533-position model. The record is from RNAcentral.